RNAcentral lists this ribosomal RNA (1221 nucleotides) under metagenome. RNAcentral describes it as "SSU rRNA". It matches the Rfam family "Eukaryotic small subunit ribosomal RNA", at positions 558 to 1800 of the family's 1831-position model. The record is from RNAcentral.
AGUCUGGUGCCAGCAGCCGCGGUAAUUCCAGCUCCGAUAGCGUAUAUUAAAGUUGUUGCAGUUAAAAAGCUCGUAGUUGGAUCUCAGGAUUUGGAUGGAUGGUUCGCUUUCGGGCGCUACUAUCUGUCUGACCUACUCUAGUCGUGGAUGCCUUGGGUGCUCUUAAUUGAGUGCUUUUGGUGCCCGACGCAAUUACUUUGAAAAAAUUAGAGUGCUCAAAGCAGGCGUAUUGCCUGAAUAGUGUUGCAUGGAAUAAUGAAAUAGGAGUUUACUUCUAUUUUGUUGGUUUUCGGAGGUGAACUAAUGAUUAACAGGGACAGACGGGGGCAUUUGUAUGGAGGGGUUAGAGGUGAAAUUCUUGGAUCCUCUCCAGACAAACUACUGCGAAAGCAUUUGCCAGGAAUGUUUUCACUAAUCAAGAACGAAAGUCAGAGGUUCGAAGACGAUCAGAUACCGUCCUAGUUCUGACCAUAAAUGAUGCCAUCUAACAAUCCACGAAGUUUGCUUGUACGAACUCGUGGGCGGUCCCCGGGAAACCAAAGAUUUUGGGUUCCGGGGGAAGUAUGGUUGCAAAGCUGAAACUUAAAGGAAUUGACGGAAGGGCACCACCAGGAGUGGAGCCUGCGGCUUAAUUUGACCCAACACGGGAAACCUCACCCGGCCCGGACACUUUUAGGAUUGACAGAUUGAAGGCUCUUUCUUGAUCAAGUGGUUGGUGGUGCAUGGCCGUUCUUAGUUGGUGGAGCGAUUUGUCUGGUUAAUUCCGAUAACGAACGAGACUCUACUCUGCUAAAUAGAACGUUGAUAUAUAAAAGUCAGUGCUGACUUCUUAGAGAGACUAACGGCGUUUAGCCGUGUGAGAAAGAGCAAUAACAGGUCUGUGAUGCCCUUAGAUGUCCGGGGCCGCACGCGCGCUACACUGACUGCAGCAACUAGUAUGCUCCUGGUUUGAAAAAACUGGGUAACCUGGUUGAAUUGCAGGCGUGACAGGGGUCAGAGUUUGCAAUUAUCCUCUGUGAACGAGGAAUUCCCAGUAAGCGCAAGUCAUUAGCUUGUGCUGAUUACGUCCCUGCCCUUUGUACACACCGCCCGUCGCUACUACCGAUUGAAUGGUUUAGUGAGGUCUUCGGAUUGGUGCUGAUGGAGUGGUUCUCUGCUCUGUUAGUGCCGAGAAGAUGAUCAAACUUGAUCAUUUAGAGGAAGUAAAAGUCGUAACAAGGU